RNAcentral lists this ribosomal RNA (253 nucleotides) under uncultured bacterium. RNAcentral describes it as "partial 16S ribosomal RNA". It matches the Rfam family "Bacterial small subunit ribosomal RNA", at positions 524 to 776 of the family's 1533-position model. The record is from RNAcentral.
UACGGAGGAGGAUAGCGUUGUUCGGAAUUACUGGGCGUAAAGCGCGCGUAGGCGGACUGUUAAGUCGGGGGUGAAAUCCCGGGGCUCAACCCCGGAACUGCCUUCGAUACUGGCGGUCUAGCGGUCUGGAGAGGUGAGUGGAAUUCCGAGUGUAGAGGUGAAAUUCGUAGAUAUUCGGAUGAACACCAGUGGCGAAGGCGGCUCACUGGCCAGAUUCUGACGCUGAGGUGCGAAAGCGUGGGGAGCAAACAGU